RNAcentral lists this ribosomal RNA (253 nucleotides) under uncultured bacterium. Its description in RNAcentral is "partial 16S ribosomal RNA". It matches the Rfam family "Bacterial small subunit ribosomal RNA", at positions 524 to 776 of the family's 1533-position model. The record is from RNAcentral.
UACGUAGGGGGCAAGCGUUGUCCGGAAUCAUUGGGCGUAAAGAGCGUGUAGGCGGUUCGGUAAGUCCGCUGUGAAAGUCCAGGGCUCAACCCUGGAAUGCCGGUGGAUACUGCCGGGCUAGAGUCCGGAAGAGGCGAGUGGAAUUCCUGGUGUAGCGGUGAAAUGCGCAGAUAUCAGGAGGAACACCGAUGGCGAAGGCAGCUCGCUGGGACGGUACUGACGCUGAGACGCGAAAGCGUGGGGAGCAAACGGG